Long non-coding RNA from Carassius auratus (goldfish), 818 nucleotides. RefSeq lists it as uncharacterized. The record is from RefSeq and is a predicted model, not a curated record. Lineage: Eukaryota; Metazoa; Chordata; Actinopteri; Cypriniformes; Cyprinidae. The transcript has 3 exons.
CAAGACAUCUCCCCACUAUUUCAACAUGUACUGGUAUUUUGGGGUUUUGUCCCAAUAAUGCAGGGAAUACCAGAAUACCACACAGACACAUCAUGAAUGAAACUUCCUACAGGUGACCUAAAAUGAUUCAUACUGACAUUAAAUAAUGAAACGACUCCAAUUAGAAAUGUAAAAUCAAGUCAGAUUCUUCAUGUAUUUUUGAGAGAACUGUGUAUUUUGACCCUGUCAGUGACCCUGAUAACAGCAGAUCAGUUAAAUCUGCUCAGUUUUAGUGUCUGAUUGAGAGUCAUUUUGGCUUAUUGUUUGUACUGUUUGCAGGAUUCUGAUUGGCUGCGGUGGACAUACAUUGAGGGAAAUGAUGAAUGAACCAUGGUGGAAUUUAAUCAAUGUGACGCCUUUGUCCUGAGGAGGAACAGGGAAGAUUAAUAAUAAAUGAUAUUGCAGUGAACUGCUUGGAUCUGUCAGGAGCUCACACUGUUCUCUUCUGUCCAUCAUGCAGUGGUUUGAUGGUCACUAUCUGUGUUCAGUGAUGAUCAGGAGAGGAUGCACAGGAGAUUCUUCAUAUCGUCUACAGUGAAUCCUGUUGACAGUCCCUCUGAGCAUCAAAAUAAGAUACAUGCCGAUCCAGCUGAAGCCCAAAUGGAUGAAUGUGAAUGCAGCUUUUUACCUGCUGAAGAUGUCACAUCCAGUAACAGUGCCUGUAGUGUCCAGGAGAUAUCAGAGCAACUGUCUCUCGCAUUGGUGCACCACUCAAAAGAAACUCAGACAGCGUCUUGUACUUGUUUUUCACAAGUUCAUCAAACAACCGCAGUAAGAAU